CCUACGGGAGGCAGCAGUAGGGAAUCUUGGACAAUGGGGGAAACCCUGAUCGAGCAACGCCGCGUGAGUGAAGAAGUUUUUCGGUAUGUAAAACUCUGUCGGCAGAGAAGAAAAUGCCGGUACCUGACUGCGUAGCCCCGGGUAACUACGUGCCAGCAGCCGCGGUCCUACGUAGGGGGCGAGCGUUAUCCGGAUUUACUGGGGGUAAAGGGAGCGUAGGCGGUGCAGCAAGUCUGAUGUGAAAGGGCGCGGCUCAACCCAGGGACUGCAUUGGAAACUGUGGAACUGGAUUGCAGGAGAGGUAAGUGGAAUUCCUAGUGUAGCGGUGAAAUGCGUAGAUAUUAGGAGGAACACCAGUGGCGAAGGCGGCUUAUUGGACUGUAAAUGACGCUGAGGCUCGAAAGCGUGGGGAGCAAACAGGAUUAGAUACCCUAGUAGUC
RNAcentral lists this ribosomal RNA (440 nucleotides) under uncultured bacterium. Its description in RNAcentral is "partial 16S ribosomal RNA". It matches the Rfam family "Bacterial small subunit ribosomal RNA", at positions 338 to 795 of the family's 1533-position model. The record is from RNAcentral.